CUCUGGAUGUGGCAGCUGGACAGUUGUAAGCAGUGACCCUGCUCAGACUGUGUGGGUCCCGAGCAAGCACCGGCUUUCUGAUCUCUCUCAGGCCACCUCUGUGUGACAGACAGCCGGGACCUGUCUUUGUGGCCUUGGGUAUCUGACUCCUGAGGUACUCGAGACUGGUGCUUUGGUAUUACAGUGGGGAGCUGCCCCCAGGCUAAAACACAUGAGACCCAAGCUGGGUGUUGUUCCACCCCCAGGACUGCAACCCUGUCCUGUCUGCUCAUGCUAUGUCUUUGGGGUGAGGGUGAUGUUGGGGUUCUUGAUCCUUCUUCCAAAGUCCCUUAGGUACCAAAAACCAACCUAACAGGUUGACCAUGUGCCACAUACAAAGCCCUGAGGACCCACCUUUGCAGGGUGGAGCCUGAAAUAGCUGUCUCACACUGCCUGAUGGAUCCCUUAACCAGGAAGUCCUUUACUACCCAAGGCAGGGAAUAAAAAUGCUCCAACUCAGAGGGAUCCAUACCCAAAACUGUCCCCCACCCUCCAAGCCAUCAGCUUCCCUGCCCUUGCUUGUAGACCAACAGGGCCAGCCCCCACUGGGGACUCCUCAGAAAUGGGGUGAAGAACGGCUCUCCACCCCCAUCGUACCGCUGCUCUAUGAUGCUGAGACACCAAAGGAUUUCCGAUUCGAGUUACUGAUCAUGUUUUGGGAAGCACGCAUCCAGGAUCCCGUCUCCCCACCUUGAAUCCCUCUGGCUUCCCCUCCCUUCACAAUCCCCAUUACAUAAACGCAAAAGCCAUAGUCACAGCCCCUCGCUCUUCUGUCCAGAGCAGCCCCUGCAGCCUUGGGGGCAAACAAAACGCUCGUUCCCACCUAGCCGAGGAACCGUGGAGAAGGUUCGUGAAAAAAAAAAAAAAGAUAUAUUUUUUUAAGAGGAAUGUGACCAAGACAUUCUGCCCCUUGGACACUGGCCACACAAAAGGAAGGGCCGGAGACUGGACCUGCUUCCCUUCUCCAACGCUCUCAUCCGAGGGUUUGGACUACCCCAGGGCUCGGCCAAGGGGGCUCUGAAUGUAUUUUGUAUGGUGUUUCCCCACCCCAGACUAAUUUCUAGUUUUCUUUCACUGGGUAGCAGAGGGCCUGGCCUCCCCUCCUACUUGGAGGUCAGCUCUCUCUGAGAGACUCUGGGUCCAGAACCUGGGCCAGUUCCUUGCUAGUGGCCCCGUCUGGUCACAAACUUUCUGUUUGAAGAUUCCUCAGGUUAACACUAUCAUUAAAAGAAAGUUUUGUUGCUAA
This 1285-nucleotide long non-coding RNA is filed under the name Rattus norvegicus (Norway rat). Its description in RNAcentral is "long non-coding RNA NONRATT008084". Lineage: Eukaryota; Metazoa; Chordata; Mammalia; Rodentia; Muridae. The record is from RNAcentral.